UACGGGGGGGGGCAAGCGUUGUUCGGAAUUACUGGGCGUAAAGGGCUCGUAGGCGGCCAACUAAGUCGGACGUGAAAUCCCUCGGCUUAACCGGGGAACUGCGUCCGAUACUGGAUGGCUUGAGUUUGGGAGAGGGAUGCGGAAUUCCAGGUGUAGCGGUGAAAUGCGUAGAUAUCUGGAGGAACACCGGUGGCGAAGGCGGCAUCCUGGGACCAAUACUGACGCUGAGGAGCGAAAGCCAGGGGAGCAAAGCGGG
Molecule: ribosomal RNA, 256 nt
Filed under: uncultured bacterium
Lineage: Bacteria
Description: partial 16S ribosomal RNA
Rfam family: Bacterial small subunit ribosomal RNA
Source: RNAcentral